GGACCAGACUCCUACGGGAGGCAGCAGUGAGGAAUAUUGGUCAAUGGGCGAGAGCCUGAACCAGCCAAGUCGCGUGAAGGAUGACGGCCCUACGGGUUGUAAACUUCUUUUGUCAGGGAGCAAUUGAGUCCACGUGUGGGCUUAGCGAGAGUACCUGAAGAAAAAGCAUCGGCUAACUCCGUGCCAGCAGCCGCGGUAAUACGGAGGAUGCGAGCGUUAUCCGGAUUUAUUGGGUUUAAAGGGUGCGUAGGCGGAAUAUCAAGUCAGCGGUAAAAAUUCGGGGCUCAACCCCGUCGUGCCGUUGAAACUGGCAGUCUCGAGUUGGAGAGAAGUAUGCGGAAUGCGCGGUGUAGCGGUGAAAUGCAUAGAUAUCGCGCAGAACUCCGAUUGCGAAGGCAGCGCACCGGCGCCCUACUGACGCUCAGGCACGAAAGCGUGGGUAUCGAACAGGAUUAGAUACCCUAGUAA
Molecule: ribosomal RNA, 468 nt
Filed under: uncultured bacterium
Lineage: Bacteria
Description: bacterial SSU rRNA
Rfam family: Bacterial small subunit ribosomal RNA
Source: RNAcentral